Molecule: ribosomal RNA, 253 nt
Filed under: uncultured bacterium
Lineage: Bacteria
Description: partial 16S ribosomal RNA
Rfam family: Bacterial small subunit ribosomal RNA
Source: RNAcentral
UACGUAGGGUGCAAGCGUUGUCCGGAAUUAUUGGGCGUAAAGAGCUCGUAGGCGGUUUGUUGCGUCGGCUGUGAAAUCCCGAGGCUCAACCUCGGGUCUGCAGUCGAUACGAGCAAACUAGAGUGUUGCAGGGGAGACUGGAAUUCCUGGUGUAGCGGUGAAAUGCGCAGAUACCAGGAGGAACACCGGUGGCGAAGGCGGGUCUCUGGGCAACAACUGACGCUGAGGCGCGAAAGCGUGGGGAGCAAACGGG